AGCAUGUGGUUUAAUUCGAUGAUACGCGAGGAACCUUACCUGGGCUCAAAUGUAUGUUGACGUAUUCUGAAAGGGAUACUUCUUCGGACAAUAUACAAGGUGCUGCAUGGUUGUCGUCAGCUCGUGCCGUGAGGUGUCGGGUUAAGUCCCAUAACGAGCGCAACCCCUAUCAUUAGUUGCCAUCAGGUCAAGCUGGGGACUCUAAUGAAACUGCCUACGCAAGUAGUGAGGAAGGUGGGGAUGACGUCAAAUCAGCACGGCCCUUACGUCCAGGGCUACACACGUGCUACAAUGGCCGGUACAAAGGGCAGCUACCUGGUGACAGGAUGCUAAUCUCAAAAGCCGGUCUCAGUUCGGAUCGGAGUCUGCAACCCGACUCCAUGAAGUUGGAAUCGCUAGUAAUCGCGCAUCAGCAUGGCGCGGUGAAUACGUUCCCGGGCCUU
This 443-nucleotide ribosomal RNA is filed under the name uncultured Sphingobacteriales bacterium. Its description in RNAcentral is "bacterial SSU rRNA". It matches the Rfam family "Bacterial small subunit ribosomal RNA", at positions 936 to 1382 of the family's 1533-position model. The record is from RNAcentral. Lineage: Bacteria; Pseudomonadati; Bacteroidota; Sphingobacteriia; Sphingobacteriales.